GAUGAAGAACGUAGCGAAAUGCGAUAAGUAAUGCGAAUUGCAGAAUUUCCGUGAGUCAUCGAAUCUUUGAACGCAUAUUGCGCCCCUUGGUAUUCCAAAGGGCAUGCCUGUUCGAGCGUCAUUACAAAAUCUCAAGCCUAGAAGCUUGGUAUUGGGCUAUCAUAUCCACCAUUCUGUGGAGGUUAUGUGCCUGAAAAUCAGUGGCGGUGCCUAAAUGACCUCAAGCAUAGUGGACACCCUUGCUUUGGAGGUUUCAUUUUUCAGGCUUGCUUGCCCUUUUUAACUCUUCUAUUUGAAAGGUUUGACCUCGAAUCAGGUAGGGAUACCCGCUGAACUUAAGCAUAUCAAUAAGCGGAGGA
This 359-nucleotide unclassified non-coding RNA is filed under the name soil metagenome. RNAcentral describes it as "partial contains 5.8S ribosomal RNA, internal transcribed spacer 2, and large subunit ribosomal RNA". The stretch from base 1 to 121 matches the Rfam family "5.8S ribosomal RNA", at positions 35 to 154 of the family's 154-position model. The record is from RNAcentral.